GUGGGCGUAGCUCAGUCGGUUAGAGCGUCAGAUUGUGGCUCUGAAGGUCGCCGGUUCGAUCCCGGUCGUCCACCCCA
Molecule: transfer RNA, 77 nt
Filed under: Helicobacteraceae bacterium
Lineage: Bacteria; Pseudomonadati; Campylobacterota; Epsilonproteobacteria; Campylobacterales; Helicobacteraceae
Description: tRNA-His
Rfam family: tRNA
About the family: Transfer RNA (tRNA) molecules are approximately 80 nucleotides in length.
Source: RNAcentral